UUAACCCACACAACCAACGCCAGGGUAUUACGAGCCUUAGCUUAAAACCCAAAGGACUUGACGGUGUCCUACCCAACUAGAGGAGCCUGUUCUAUAAUCGAUAACCCCCGAUCUACCUAACCCUACCUUGCCAAUCAGUCUGUAUACCUCCGUCGUAAGCUUACCAUAUGAAUGUUUACAGUAAGUUUAAAGGUCAUAUCACCCACACGUCAGGUCAAGGUGCAAUUUAUGGUGGGGCAAGCAAUGGGCUACAGUUUCUAUACUAGAACAAACGAAAUACUGCAUGAAAUACAGUCACGAAGGCGGAUUUAGUAGUAAAAAGAAAAUAACGUGUUCUUUUUAACAAGGCCCUAGGACGUGUACACACCGCCCGUCACCCUCUUCAACAGUACAUAUAUGUUUAUAACAAAACUUCACAUUUUAGAAGAGGCAAGUCGUAACAUGGUAAGUGUACCGGAAGGUGCACUUGGAUUAA
This 475-nucleotide ribosomal RNA is filed under the name Limnonectes fastigatus. Its description in RNAcentral is "partial 12S ribosomal RNA". It matches the Rfam family "Bacterial small subunit ribosomal RNA", at positions 852 to 1533 of the family's 1533-position model. The record is from RNAcentral. Lineage: Eukaryota; Metazoa; Chordata; Amphibia; Anura; Dicroglossidae.